UACGAAGGGGGCUAGCGUUGCUCGGAAUUACUGGGCGUAAAGCGUGCGCAGGCGGUGAUGUAAGACAGGUGUGAAAUCCCCGGGCUUAACCUGGGAACUGCAUUUGUGACUGCAUUGCUGGAGUGCGGCAGAGGGGGAUGGAAUUCCGCGUGUAGCAGUGAAAUGCGUAGAUAUGCGGAGGAACACCGAUGGCGAAGGCAAUCCCCUGGGCCUGCACUGACGCUCAUGCACGAAAGCGUGGGGAGCAAACAGG
This 253-nucleotide ribosomal RNA is filed under the name uncultured bacterium. RNAcentral's name for it is "partial 16S ribosomal RNA". It matches the Rfam family "Bacterial small subunit ribosomal RNA", at positions 524 to 776 of the family's 1533-position model. The record is from RNAcentral.